Molecule: ribosomal RNA, 605 nt
Filed under: uncultured Bacteroidota bacterium
Lineage: Bacteria; Pseudomonadati; Bacteroidota
Description: bacterial SSU rRNA
Rfam family: Bacterial small subunit ribosomal RNA
Source: RNAcentral
CGUACUGAGACACGGACCAGACUCCUACGGGAGGCAGCAGUGAGGAAUAUUGGACAAUGGGAGCAAUCCUGAUCCAGCCAUGCCGCGUGCAGGAAGACUGCCCUAUGGGUUGUAAACUGCUUUUAUACAGGAAGAAAAAGCCCGACGUGUCGGGUGUUGACGGUACUGUAAGAAUAAGGAUCGGCUAACUCCGUGCCAGCAGCCGCGGUAAUACGGAGGAUCCAAGCGUUAUCCGGAAUCAUUGGGUUUAAAGGGCCCGUAGGCGGGAUAAUAAGUCAGUGGUGAAAGUCUGCAGCUCAACUGUAGAAUUGCCAUUGAUACUGUUGUUCUUGAGUUAUUGUGAAGUGGUUAGAAUGAGUAGUGUAGCGGUGAAAUGCAUAGAUAUUACUCAGAAUACCGAUUGCGAAGGCAGAUCACUAACAAUACACUGACGCUGAUGGACGAAAGCGUAGGUAGCGAACAGGAUUAGAUACCCUGGUAGUCUACGCCGUAAACGAUGGUUACUAGCUGUUCGGGUUAAUUGAGACCUGAGUGGCUAAGCGAAAGUGAUAAGUAACCCACCUGGGGAGUACGUUCGCAAGAAUGAAACUCAAAGGAAUUGACGG